GCCACUGCUAUUCGCACGUGGACUGCGUUGGCAUGCGAACUUGCAGGACUGAUGCCCUCUACCAGGCAGCCCUAGCAGCGGCUCCCCCUACGGCAGUGGCAUCGUGGCGGGACCGAGCGGGCGGCGCGUGGAGAGAGGGUCGGACUAUUCCCCGGGCGGCAGCGGCGGCGGCGGCAGCAACGGGACGAGCAUGCAGGCGUGGAAGGAACCGCAACUAGAUACCUGGUUGGCUCCAGAGAUUUCCUACGAGGUGAUGAGGAGCAAAGAGCUAACCA
This is a long non-coding RNA of Priapulus caudatus, 275 nucleotides long. RefSeq lists it as uncharacterized. Lineage: Eukaryota; Metazoa; Priapulida; Priapulimorpha; Priapulimorphida; Priapulidae. The record is from RefSeq and is a predicted model, not a curated record. The transcript is spliced from 3 exons.